AAGAGGUAAAACGGGUAGUGGAACGAGCCGGGAUAGUGGAACGUUCCGAGCGGUCCGCUUUCCAGGAACACGAGUGUAAAUCACGAUUUUAUUACGGAUAAUUUUACGAGGAGUCGUGCUCGCCGCCGCCGACGCUGUUCGAGUGUCGGCUACCUUAAACUUGUAAUCGCGCGUCAUCGUCUCUCGUGAACCUCGGACCACGGCCGCGGAAUCGUUAGCGAAUUAGGGAAACCUGGCCAAACAAGCCUGGCCACGGUCUCCGACGAUAUUCGCAGCCAUGUCUGCUCUGCGAUUAUUACGACGACAACACCGUUCUCCGGGAAUAAUGAUAUUUAUUUAAUGAAGCAUCAUUUUUCGCUCGGUGCAUCAUUUUUUAACGCGUUAAGUGCCGCGUCGAUCGCAUGUAGGUGAUACUGAUCUCUGAUUAGAUUCAGAAAUUUCUGUAUUUGACACGUCGAAGGCCACGGGGCGACUAUGAAGGUGACCAGCGAAGGCCAGAUUCCUAAAAACAUAAAUCGAAAUUAUCCUGAUGUCACUAUGUCGACACUCGUCCACGAAGGGUUAAGUUCCAUCCGCUAUUGAAAGGAACAAUGGAAAUACGCCUACGCGAAGCAUGCUAAAAAACGUGUCCUCAAAAACUGAUCAAUACAACUGGGAAUGUUCACGAACACCGUCGAUUGUACAGUUGUGAAAAUGAUUCGCUGUCCGAGGGUCAAAGAAUCGAAGUUCUCUGGAACAAAAAUACUAAGUAAUUGCCGAUUUCAGAUAUAGAUG
Non-coding RNA from Megalopta genalis, 774 nucleotides. The record is from RefSeq and is a predicted model, not a curated record. NCBI's taxonomy places the organism in Eukaryota, Metazoa, Arthropoda, Insecta, Hymenoptera, Halictidae.